RNAcentral lists this unclassified non-coding RNA (384 nucleotides) under Hevea brasiliensis (rubber tree). The record is from RNAcentral. Lineage: Eukaryota; Viridiplantae; Streptophyta; Magnoliopsida; Malpighiales; Euphorbiaceae.
UUACUGUGGAUGACAAGGUCAGUCGUUUUUAUUCAAUAUGGCAAUUUCAAUUGGUGACGAUAUGAUUAGAUUUGUUAAGUUCUAACUGUGAGUAUGAGUUAUCAUAGUAGGAUCUGCAAGAAGUUCAGAAUAUAGAUUUAGCGUAGAGAUUGGAUAAUUUCUCUGUUGUGGCCAAAUUGUCUUUCUUGCACUAAUUUUAACUUACUAUUUGAUGAUUGAGCAUAACAUUCUUUCUAAGAUUUUCAUUAUUUGCGUGUCUUUAUGAGUUAUGAUAUGAAUUCCUAUUCUUUGCAUGUGUUUUACAUUUCAAAGGACUUUGGGGAAGCUUGGAUUCAGCCUAUGCUCCUAUACUUCUUUCACCCUAGGCAUUUGGAGCUAAAAUAG